Paramuricea clavata is the source of this 1408-nucleotide non-coding RNA. The record is from the annotation of a GenBank genome assembly. NCBI's taxonomy places the organism in Eukaryota, Metazoa, Cnidaria, Anthozoa, Malacalcyonacea, Plexauridae.
UUUUCAUUUACGUUAAGUACUGUUCACACAGAAUUCAAGAGAAAGAACACAAAACAUCUUGGCUUUGCUGUGACAGGCAAGAAAAGUUUAUGGUGCCAAGUUUACGUACCAGACAUGCAGAAAACUAGGCACCACAUCCACAAACUUUUCGGUUGCAUGCACCAUUGGGACUGCUUACCAAAAUUUACGUAUGGUUGGUCAUGCGGGAAGUGAUCAGCUCUGAACCAAUCAAUGUGUAUAUUGAAAAGCUGGCAACCAUUAUAUUAGACAAUGUCCAAGCAACUGCGCACUUGAGCGGACAUUUGUCAGAGUCAAUUGAAAUUGUUAUAAUCGACACUGUUUACCUCGGUUGUCAAAGUAAAGUUGAGUAAAGACUUGUUUACACUUGAAAUAUUUGCUGCUGCAAUUUUCUUUUGAUUGAUGUAAAUGAGUGGAUGAGUUACAAAUGUUCACACGAGGGUACAUAUACUUAGAGCAUUCAUAACUCAUAUCUAUUCUGUCACAUGCAUCAAAAUUAAUUAAAGAAGAAAAUUGUUCUGGAAAUUGCAGCAAAAAUUGCAAGUGUAAAACGAGGCCUUAAUAUGUACAUAAUAUGCAGGGCUCGAACUAGAGAAAACAUAUGGCCUGUCAGUCUAAAAAUUUUUGGCAGGUGAAAUAAAUUUAGCAUACCAUCUUUAUUCAUUGAAAUUCCCAAAUUUUUAUGAGUCAUAUUUGGAAAAAUCAAUGUUUUCAUGAUAUGUAUUUUUAUUUUACUACAGUAAACUUGGAUUUACAUUUCAAAUAUAAAUGUAUUUAGUCAACUAAAUGAUCUAGUAUAUAUGAGUUGUGGUAAACAAAUGAAAUGAAAUAUGUCUAUAGAAUUUCACCUGCCAUUUCUUUUUGACUAACUGGCAGUUCAAAUUUGUUUUUGCCUGCCAUUUCUAAAAUAUGGCCUCCUUUUGGCCAUUGGCAGCCAGCUAUUUCGAGCCCUGAUAAUAUGUUGCCUUGUUGGUGAAAAUCAAUCACAAUGGCGUUGAGUGCAAACGAAACUAUUAAUGUUCAAAUUUUGGGUGUGUCGAUACACAUAAUCACCAUUUUCACAAAAGCUGUAAAUAUAACUUAUAAGCAUUUAUUUUAGAUUUGAGAAAUUUUAUGUAAUUGAUAGUUUCUUGACAAACUGUUGGAUCUUAACAAACUGUUGUAAUACAUUGUCCAGCUUUCACGUAUUCCCCUGAGUGAUUGGCUUGGUUCCAAAAUAGAGUUAAUGGAAUGAAGCACAAGAUUGAUGUUUAGGGACUGGUCAUAAAGUAAUUACUAGAGGGGGGUGAAGGAUAAAUGAAAUUUCAAGUACAUAUUUCCAUACCCUCCCAAAAACCUAUGGAAAAAUUUUCGUAACCCCCUUCAAUGUAAGUGAAAAUUUUCAUACCCC